Molecule: ribosomal RNA, 494 nt
Filed under: uncultured bacterium
Lineage: Bacteria
Description: partial 16S ribosomal RNA
Rfam family: Bacterial small subunit ribosomal RNA
Source: RNAcentral
GACGAACGCUGGCGGCGUGCUUAACACAUGCAAGUCGAACGGAAAGGCCUGCUUUCCCUUGUGGAUUGCGGGUACUCGAGUGGCGAACGGGUGAGUAACACGUGAGUGAUCUGCCCCCAACUUGGGUAUAAGCCUGGGAAACUGGGUCUAAUUCCCGAUAGGACUGCAGGGUGGUGCCUGUGGUGGAAAACGAUUUUCUAGUGGUUGGGGAUGAGCUCGCGGCCUAUCAGCUUGUUGGUGGGGUAAUGGCCUACCAAGGCGGCGACGGGUAGCCGGCCUGAGAGGGUGGACGGCCAGAUUGGGACUGAGAGACGGCCCAGACGCCAACGGGAGGCAGCAGUGGGGAAUAAUGCACAAUGGGCGGAAGCCUGAUGCAGCGACGGCGCGUGGGGGAUGACGGCCUUCGGGUUGUAAACUCCUUUCGACCGCGAGGAAGCCACCUGGUUGGAAGGGUGGUGACGGUAGUGGUAGAAGAAGCACCGGCUAACUACGUG